UUUAGAGACCAGGAGAAUGAAGUCAUCUUUUUCAUAGAACAGGUAAAGCAUAAGCAGUGACGAGGCAAACCUCCCACACACCCCUGCUAAUAUGCCUCAUCCCUGACGUGAAAGGACCUCUUCCUGCGUUGAGAUAGGAGUUCAGUCUCCAUGACCCAUAUGGUCCAUAGCCUUG
Chelonoidis abingdonii (Abingdon island giant tortoise) is the source of this 175-nucleotide unclassified non-coding RNA. Lineage: Eukaryota; Metazoa; Chordata; Testudines; Testudinidae. The record is from Ensembl.